Aquila chrysaetos chrysaetos is the source of this 6112-nucleotide long non-coding RNA. RefSeq lists it as uncharacterized. The record is from RefSeq and is a predicted model, not a curated record. The transcript is spliced from 3 exons. Lineage: Eukaryota; Metazoa; Chordata; Aves; Accipitriformes; Accipitridae.
AUUUGCUCUCAACUCUGUCUUGUUACUUAAGAAAUGCUGAAGAAAAUGGAAUUGUCAUCUUGUUCUUGGCUGGGAGCAGUAUAGUCAGACAGUGCCGGAGUAUCGGGAGCUCAUCUGGAGGCAGAAUCCUGGAUGCCAGCAGGCUGCGGUGGUGGCAUCUCGAAGUUUUGAUAAGGCAUGGUGUCAAACAUGGGCACUAACAGCUCUGCCAGAAACCUCUGCUGCUAGUUCUACUCAUAGGAGCAGGAAGAAAAGGAUAUUGUUUCUUGUUAUUUUAUUUUUCUCAGUCAGCUAUAAUGAAACCCUCAUUGGCUUUAUAGGUGGGAAGUGGUGAUAGCAGGACCAUCUCUAGCCCUUGCGAGUGCAGGGAGUUGAAAUCAUGACCCUCAAAACCCUAAAAACAAAUGAAGGAGAAGAGGCGACUGCUUUUCUGUUCUUGUGCAAGGCAAUGUCACAGACUGGGGAGGACCCUUCCUCCUGAUUUUACUGAGGAACUAUAAAUUGCUAUUGCAAAUGCACUCUACUGCUUUCUUAAGGUAAGAGAUAAAGUUUGCAUUUUGUUGUGUUUGUAAUUUACAUGAUGUUUUGUAACUUAGCUCUGUGAUAUAAUGUGCCUAUAACGUUUUUUAUCUAAAGAUCUUAAACAGUUUUACUUUGAGAGGUUUGCAAUUUUUAACAUUUUUUCCCAAGAUUAAUUAAAACAAUUUCACCUGAUUGAUUCUAUUGCAGUCUAUAUCUGUAAAUUAAUACCUUUCGUAUGCUUAAAUUGGUCAAAUUUGUUCAUUUCUCUUUUAAUGUAUCUUUAGGAACCUUCUUUUUUCAGAUUCUAAUUGAGAAAACUCUUUACUCUUUCAACUUCUUUUUCUCUUCCCUGAACAACUAACUCAUUUUUUUGGUUUGCUGAACAUACCUAAUCUCAUAAAAUUUCUGUUACAGUAGGUGAAACGUUGGUUCACAGAAAUUUGCUUGAAAAAUUUGCUAUUUUAAAUCUUUUUGAUUAGUCUGUUUUACAAACGUUCUGAUUUGUGUAUGAUUACAGUAGACUGAUUUUCAGAAAUCUCUUUUGUGUGUUGUUUUCUUAUGUGUUAAAGGUUAGGAAACUUUUCUGCUGGUGCUGAACCGGCCUGCUUGGUCAUAUCUCAAGAUUUUUUUCAGGUAUUCCAUUCAUAGCUCACAUGCUGGAAAAUGAGACGAGAAAACCCUUAAAGGCUCAGAAAUAAACUAAAUAAAUAUUUCUUUUCAAUAGCACAAAUUUUUAACAUGAUGUUUGAGAAAUCUGCAACUCAUCACAAUUGGUCAGCAUGCAAAUGGAGAUCAAGCUUUGGGGUAAGAAUACCACUCUGCCUGUAGGGUUCUCUUUGUGUUCUUUCAUUUGCUGUUCCAUGAUUCUGUAUAAUGCCAGAUCUUGCAGAUCAUACUAUAUGCCUAUUCCCCAGCCGUUUGACUUGGCAGAAGAGUUCCCUCUGAUUUGUGUCUGUGUUUCAAGAGCCAGCAGCUUAGAGCAAAGAUCUGUUUUGACUGUCUUAACCUUGCUCUUUAACAUCAGCUUUUCUUUAGCUCGUUUCUAUUCUCUGUCAUAGGUGCCUUAUGUACUGCUGGGUCUCCUUUAGCGAAAAGUGGAGAAUCCACUUUGAGUUUUGACUGCUCUACUUUGCAAGCUAAUUUUCAAGAUUUCUGGCUAACUUCCUAAUAAAAAAUUAGUGGGGAGACUUGGAAGGCAGAGAGUACUUUUGGGAUCCUGAUGAUCCUAGGCCAUGAUUUUCAUAUUGGGUAUCGGUGAUGUAGAAGGUAAGCAGCUUACCCAAUGAUACCAAAUGAGCCAGCUGCAUGUCUGGAGCAGAAGCUGGUACCUUGAUACAAGAUGUUCAGUUACUAGGUCUCUUUUUCUCUGAUACCAAACUCAUAUGUUACUUGUACUGUUUCAAUUAUGUUCCCUUUCACAUGCUGAACACUCUCACGACUCUGCAGAGUUGAUGGUAUUAUUAAUCAUGCAGAGAUGGUGCAAGUGCAGGAUGUAUUAAAGAGAUGAGAAAUCCCCUCUAUUUCAAAAUACAAAUACUCUCUCUCUAGAAAACAAUUCUUUGAAUGCUUUGCAUUCUUGGCAGCCUAUCCUGGAAAUAAUAUUAACACAUGUAUUGUUUAAAGCUAUUUGGAAAAGCAGAUCACGUAAAGAAGGAAGUUCUGCCUUGUGAAAAAUUUCUAUGAAGUAGCAACAUCCUGUUAUUAGUUGAGUUUUCAUAUUUUGCUUGUUGCUCUAACGUUCUUAACAGAUUACAGUUGUUACACCAACAAAUGACCUUUACUCAUCUGCUUGAGUAUAAACAGAUAAGGAUUCACAAUACUUGCUUCACUGCAGCUGUCUAACUCUUGGUUUCUUUUUUUUUUUUUUUUUAAAUGGGAAAUCACGUUGUUCAGGAAUAAGAGCUGGUUCCUCUGUAAGAAAUCUCAGCAGAGGGGGGCCAGCAGGUGCCAGAAGAUGGUGCCAAAGCCUCUCACCUUGCUGAGUAGCAGGCUAAGCGCCAGCAGCCUGGACCCAGGGGCCUGUGCCCUGCUCACUUCAAGCUUUCAGCCUCAAAAAUCGCACAGCUGUAGCUUGUUCCUGCAUCUGUCCUCUACAGGAGGAGAUUUUUCUUAGUCCCUGUGAAUGGCAGCUCCUCCCUGGUUCUAUAGACCUGGACAAAACAGUCCUAAAAGCAGUUAUCUGCUGGCCACAUCCCAAGGAAAAGGAGUCUAAGCAAACACUCAGGACAGUGUCUCAGGAAGGAGAGAGGUUUCUCUUGUAGCAGCAAGGGUGGAGGGAAUUGUCUUCUGGCCCCUUGUCAGUGCACCUGCAGCCUGCCUGAUUUAAGCACAGGACUUGCAUCUAAGCUUCAAGUACUUGAAAAAGCCAUGCUCCAAAACCACAUACUCCACUUCUCCAUUAUAUUUAAUGGCAAGAGGUAAGUGCCUUUGACGAUUUCAGAAAAAUCUAUUUGCUAACUCAGAAGUCUAAAAUAAGGUCUAAUAAACUGCCAUUCUGGGAGGCCUUCAAAGGCACCUAACUCUUUCUUGACACACAAAUUUUCAGACAUCUCAUUAGGAUGAGGGCAGCUGGGCAGAGCUGUUUUUCUUUGGACCUUGUCCUUCGGGGAUAGAAGGGGUAUCCGACCUUAUGCUAAUGGCAUGUCUUAGAGUUGUCCUGGAGCUGUUCCUCCAAGUACUUUAGGGAUUGGUUGACCUCAAAGCUCAUGGAGCUAAAAUCGGCUCCCAGAUACUUCACGCCCAUGGUGCAGUGCAUGGAGCUCUGGCUCAAAAGAGGAAUCUGUCCUUGGAGACUUAAAACCAGCUCUUUUGUUAUGACUCCUUGCAAUAACCUUUGCCUUCUUGCCUUGAGGUUGUACAAAUCAACUGUAGUCAAGGGACAGCUAAACUAGGCCAGGAGAUGAAGGUGAGGAGAUGAAGAAUUGCAGCACAGGUACCCCUAUCAGCUGGUUUACCAUGUUUCUCAUUAAAGCCAUGAUGUGGGACAGUCUGCAUUUGGAGAUACACCCUUUCUUUUGAAUGAGAUAUUUUUCUUCUUUUGAAUGUCUAAGAAGGACCCACUCCAUUCUGGAGCUAUCACAAGAAAAGGUGUGUGGCACCUUAUAAACAAAACCAAGAACAGAUAAGAAGAACAACGCCAAUAGCUGCUGGUGGUUUUUUUGUCUUUUAUCUCUAUUAUAGAGCUUAUUUUGUGAUUUAUCUCUGUUACAGAGACCAGAGGUCUUCAGGUGCAGUGGGAGGAUGGAGGAAUAAGACAACCGUUAUAGACGUCUCUGACUAGGAAUUAAUCCUGAAUCAUACUCACUGGAGGGAUCAGCUGUGUUUACAUAAGAAACCACUGUGCAGAAUGCUCUAAAUAUAGGUGACUCUUGCCUUAAAGAGCUUACUGUCCAUAAAAGACAGAGAGAAUAAGGGCCAGAGAGAAGCUUUGGAAAUGAGACAUUUUGAAACAUUGAGUCACCAUAACCUUAUUCAGUACUGAAGAUGAUUUCUGCUCUCCCAUUUGCCUGUUUUCCUUCAGCAGGGAUGUGCAAGCUACCUCAGGCAGGUCUGCAAGUCUUAACUUCCAUUCUGUUCCUUCACAGGAGAAGCUGUGAUAGGAACAAGGCAAGUAGACUAUGAAAAAAUACAGAGCCACUAUUAUGGAAGAGUGUUUUGUACAGUGUAAAACCAGUCUGGCUGACAGUUGAGAGCUAAGGGUAAAAUCUGCAGUAAAACAGCUGGUGGUGCAGAUCAGUCAUGAUGUCCUCCAGGUUCCUGAAAAAUGCAGAAUGUGGAGCUACGAGCCACUGCCAGCCGUGCCCAGCUGCAGUCUGGGAGACAUAAAUCAGCAUCUUCCAGCUACAGAAUCAAGGUGUAAAGGGACUAAUCUGAGGACUAAUGCAACUCCGUGACUGUCUGCAGCAAAGUUAGCCUCAGGAAGGACAGAGCAGUGAGGUGGCUGAACAGGAGCUGGCUCAGCACGAUUCAUCUGAGGAUGUGAAGGUGGCAAAAACCAUGUUUGCAUCAUUCACAUAAGUGAGACCUGCUAAAAUUCUCUUUGUUCAUUCAUUUACUUGUGGCAGGCCAAAUCAGCCUGCCAAGGGGAGGGGAGCAGUAUUUUUGUUUUCUAUUCAGUUAAUCCUUUUUGCUGAGUCCUGCUACUGAAGACAGUUAUCUGUACAGCUUCAAGCAGAAUGGGGAUUUAAACAUCAAAGUGCUGAUUUAAAUUCUGGAGGACAAUCAGUAUGGAGUCAUCAAACCUUCCAGCAAUUGUGCUGGUUUCUCCUUUGCUCUGGGCCUGAUCCUGCACACUCAGAUGCCCACAGCAACCGCUGAAGCCAGAUGGAGCUUUGACCAGGAUGAAGCUCUGUGUAGCACGACUGGUUCUUUGCGCAAAGGCACAAACCUAAACUGCUCUUCAGCCUUUUGACCAGGCCAAUCACCUCGUGUUUAGCUCAAAUUAAUUUCAAACUUGAAAUGUUUUGGUCCUGUUUGGCUUCUGCAAAGUUUCUUCUCUGGCUGACAGAACAGUUGGUCCUUAUUUUUCUCAUGGAAACUGCUGUAGUGUCCAGCAGCCCAGGGAACAAGAAAUGCUGUGAGACUGUGCAGGUAAGGCAGCAAUGUCAGCUCACACCUCUGCAGGUCACAACAUGAAAUCAAGCACAUCCUUCAGCCAGGGCUUCUGAUGCCUGGGGUCACUUUUUAAGCCAAGUCGAAAAACGUUUUGUGGUUUUUUUUUUGUUUUAGUGUUUGUUUUUAGGGCUGUAUGUGAUGGAUGUUAACACUUUAAUAUUAAAAUACCUCAGUUAUCACAAGGCUGAGAAUGAGGAGCUCCCAAAUAGUAUCAAAAUAGUGACUUUUGGCUUCUGCUCCCCACCGGGGUGGGGGGGUGAAAACACAUAUGUCUUUGCUGAGGAGCACUGUUUGAGUCCUCUGCUGCUGCAAAAUCGUCAGGUGCAUUCGAACCUCUCUUCUGGUUCUGAAUGGAUCCUGAUUUCUGUAAGCAUGUUCCUUCCUGAUAAGUACUUGGGAAAUAAUCUGUGUGACUAUAUUUAGCCUCCAAGUCCCACAGCACUUGCUUUUUGCUGAAGUGGCAGGUUUUUAACAUCUGUCUCUUACUGUCUGACUAUAUGAGGAAAUCUUCUUAGGAGAGCAAAAAAAUAACAUUGAAUUGCCAAUACCAUAAAUAAAUCAGUACUUACUCUCAUCUAUAAAUCUGUUCACAUUUAUGCAUGGGUAUUUGUACAUAGAAAAAUCAUUCCAUAGAGAGUCAUAAAAAUAAAACUCAAUCCAUGGGCAUAUUCAUGGGUGCUGAAGAGUGAGGUGUAGGCAUGUUUGAGCUGAGCAACUGCUGCAGAUUCAAAUUCAUGCUUGUAGACACUGUCCUGGUAGCAGCCAGCUGUCCCCAGGUGUGGACUGUAGCUCAGGAAGGACAGUCAAAAUGUGCCGAGAUGUAAGCUGAGAAGGUACUGUCCAGUUGCUAAAGGACUUGAUCUCUAAAUUUACUUUGCUGUUGAUGUUAAAUUUCCUAGCAAAACUAUCUGUUGCUGAGAUAUUUCUGUGAAAAACUGUAUAUAGCUCACCUUUCUCAGCCGUGCUGCAUGGAAGA